Raphanus sativus (radish) is the source of this 413-nucleotide long non-coding RNA. RefSeq lists it as uncharacterized. The transcript has 4 exons. Lineage: Eukaryota; Viridiplantae; Streptophyta; Magnoliopsida; Brassicales; Brassicaceae. The record is from RefSeq and is a predicted model, not a curated record.
AGAUUGGCUUUACAUGGACGUUGAGACUUGAUAGGAUGCUAAAUAAUGCUACAGAGUUUCAGGAGCUUAGUUGCUAAAGAAGUAAUUGCUUAUAAAACAUUUGAUACAUAUUUUUGUACAGAUCGAAUGAGCUUACAACACAACCCCUAGCAGUUUAAUACGCUCAAAAAUACCUAAGAGAAGUGAAGGAGAUCAUAAAAGAGUAGACAAAACUUGGUUUUCAAAAGAAAAAAAAGUCAACGAGGUGUCAAAGGAAGCAGAGAAAGUAAAAGGUUGGUCGGAGAAGAAUGAAGCUAAGUAGAAAAGGAGUGCUAUGUGGAGCAACCAAGUGUUCACUUCAGAUAAAGUUUACGCCAAAGUAUUUACUCUGCAAGACACUGUACAGAAAAUGAGUUUGAUAUUUUAAAUGCAAU